This 524-nucleotide ribosomal RNA is filed under the name uncultured bacterium. Its description in RNAcentral is "bacterial SSU rRNA". It matches the Rfam family "Bacterial small subunit ribosomal RNA", at positions 767 to 1306 of the family's 1533-position model. The record is from RNAcentral.
AGCUAAUAGAUACCCGGGUAGUCCUGGCCGUAAACGAUGACCACUAGAUGCACGCGGGCUCGACCCUGGGUGUGUCGCAGUUAACGCACUAAGUGGUCCGCCUGGGGAGUACGGUCGCAAGACUAAAACUCAAAGGAAUUGACGGGGACCCGCACAAGCAGCGGAGCGUGUGGUUUAAUUCGAAGCAACGCGAAGCACCUUACCAGGGCUUGACAUGCUCUUGCACCAGCGGUAAUGCGCUGUCUCCUUCGGGAGCGGGAGCACGGGUGCUGCAUGGCUGUCGUCAGCUCGUGUCGUGAGAUGUUGGGUUUAAGUCCCGCAACGAGCGCAACCCCUGUGGUUGGUUGGAUGUUCUCCAGCCAGACUGCCGUGAGCAACACGGAGGAAGGUGGGGAUGACGUCAAGUCAGCAUGGCCCUGACGUCCUGGGCGACACACACGCUACAAUGGCCGGUCCAACGGGAAGCCAACCCGCGAGGGGUAGCGGAUCCCAGCAAACCCGGGUCUCAGUUCAGAUUGCAGGCU